UAUUAAAUAUUUCAUCCAUUUCUACAGUUAAAAACUGAUAUAGUUAACAAAAUAACCAAAUAGUUACACAUGAUACGUGCUGACAUAUAAAAAUUAAUUUUUUACUGUAGAAAUUGAUGAAAUUUUUAACA
Molecule: microRNA precursor, 131 nt
Organism: Gossypium arboreum
Lineage: Eukaryota; Viridiplantae; Streptophyta; Magnoliopsida; Malvales; Malvaceae
Rfam family: MIR7502 microRNA precursor family
Source: Rfam